RNAcentral lists this long non-coding RNA (2816 nucleotides) under Fukomys damarensis (Damara mole-rat). RNAcentral describes it as "lncRNA (ENSFDAG00000030377.1)". The record is from RNAcentral. Lineage: Eukaryota; Metazoa; Chordata; Mammalia; Rodentia; Bathyergidae.
CGUGCACACGUGUGUCCAUGCAUGAGGCGGUGUGUGCAGCCCUGGGCGUAACACGUGUGCACCCUUUGCUCUCUGGCGUGUGCUGCACACCGUGCGGACCAGCGCCGGUGUCCCCGGCGUCUCUGAGGACGCGUGACUCGUGUGUCCCUGUGUGCGUCCGUCUUCGCACCCCGCACCCAUCCCGCUGGGGCGGUUGGUUCCGCAGGAAGCUGUUGGGGUGCGGAUGGAGGUGCUGCGCCUCCCCGCUGCACCCCACUCCUCCUCCCGGAGACACGGGCAGGCCCCCCCCCGGGGCGAGGGUGGACGGGGACCCUGUCUUCUGCGCUCUCCUCGGACCCCUGUGCACACAGCUGGCGCGGAGAGGCGGUUGAGGAAGAGGAAGUAGAGGGCAGAGCUGGGUCACGCCGUGGCUACACCAGGCUGCGGCAGCCGGUGCUGCCUUGGGCUCCCCAGGAGCCCUGGCCGAGGGUCAUGGGGGCCACAGAAGCUGGCAGCCCGGCCGGAGACCCAGGCCACCGUGGGCCAGGAGCUGUGUGACGGCACUGUCCUGAAGUGAGUUUGCCCUGUGAGUCAGGGAGCAAGGAUUUUGCAGGAGGUUCUGAGCCCAAGUCAUGUGUCCAGCCCUUUGAUUCUGGAGCUGCAGCCUUGGCCACCAAGAGUAGCCGUGAGCCCUGGAGACCCGAGGACCCAGACGUUUUCUCCAUCAUGCAGGAUGAGCAGGAAGAUGAUUUUGCAGAACAGCUCAGCAAGAGCGCGGAGGACCUCAGCCUGGAUUGGGGGGCCCUGCAGGACAGCGAGUAUCUCCAGGACCUGGGCCUGGCGGCCUCUUCCCCCUGCCUGCCCGGUGGGGCCGCGGACAGCAGCUCCCCGAAGACAGAAACUGAGAGAGACGCGCCCUUCUCCAGCUCGGAUGGGGCCCAGACUCUGGUGCAGAGGCGCAGCUGGGAGCGGUCGCGGAGCUGCUCCGAGGACUGGCGGAGGCUCAGCUGCGACCCCCUGCCUUUGGAGGAGAUCCCCUGCCUCCCCCGGACACUGGCUAGUCUGGCUCUCAACCUGUCGGGAGAAGGCCUGAAGACUUGGACCCAGGGCUGUCUGCCUAGGGGCGGGGCCGCAGCAGAAUCCCCAGGCAAGGACCAUGGCAGCCCCAAGGAGAAGAGAGAGAGGUCACGAUCGGCGCCCCUGGCCUGCGGGGAGAGCAGCUCCCCAGAAGCGGCAACUGUGAGAGGCCUCGAACCCCCGGAGCUGGAGAGCCUGGAAAAGGAUCACGUGGAGCCCGACCACGUGGCGCGGCAAAGGGCUCACCUGGCCACCAGCCCCGGAGCGCCCCACUCCAGCCUCACCUGGUUCGAGUUCCUGUCGGAGAGCGAGGACUGUGCCUCCAAGAGUGAGAAGAGCACCAGGAGCACCAGGGUGAAGCGGAGUCUGAGCUCCCUCCGCAGCCGGGUCACCAGGCAGAAGGAGAAGGGAAAGAGCCCAGCGCAGCUGAAGGACAAGGCUCCGGACAGCAGGGAGAAGUGGGAAUGCACCAGCGGGCACCAGCUGGUGCGGGGGACCUUCGCCGGCCACUCCAGCUGCCCGCUGUGCAGCAAGCCGCUCCUGAGUCCCGGUGAGUCCCGCACCCCAAUCCACCCACCCUCCCUCUUCUUUGCCGCCUCAGCCUCCUUUGCACGAACCCAGUUGGUUCUGGAGGGCUGGUUGUAACUCAAGCUGGUCGUAACUCAAGCUGGUCGUGAAGGCGCAGGCUCGUCUACCCAGCCUUCAACGUCUCUCUGCUGUACACAGGCCGGUCUCAGGGUCCUCAGAGAGACACUGGCCCAGGUUUUCUCGGUGAACCCCACACAGGAAAAGGAUGUGGCAAUGUUCUUUCCAGAACUCUUUACGGGUCAGGUCUUUAUCUGAGGCCAUCUGGAAGCACAGGCGGCCGGCAUUUGGGUCGUAACUCGAGACGUUGUACCACCAAAGGUGGCCUUCUGGUCAUAACCCAAGUCAUUUGUAUGUCAGGCUGCUCAUGACUCGGGGGUCCGCUGUGUUUCCUCUUCCCCUGCAUGGACAGCUUUCUCGGGCUUUCUGGAGGGAAGCAGGGUUAGGUGACCACGGACAGAGGCAUUUGGGUGGUCUCGGGCCGCGACACCUCCUUAUGUCUGGACUUUUAGCCCUGCCAGGACCUGGUCCUGUUGGCUCAGGGCCACGCUACCCCGGUGUGGUCUCAGCUCUCCAUGCGUGUGCCACAACUGCAUUUGCAAAUAAGAUCACCUAGCCGGGCAUGGUGGCUCCCACCUGUCAUCCCAGCACUUGGGAGGCUAAGGCAGGAGGAUCGCUGGGAGUUCGAGACCAGCCUGGGCUACACAGUGAGUUCCAGGUCAGUCUCACUACAUAGUGAGACCCUGUCUAAAAAAAAAAAAAAAAAAAAAGCGAAAAACAAAAAACCAAAUAAGAUCACCUGCGGACGCCUGGGGAGGGAGGUUAGGCCGACAACCUGUGAACGAGGGGGGCCCUUUCGUCGUUAACAAGGGAAUUCCUAACCCCCAGAUUGUGGGGUACCGGUAACCAGGGUCUCUGCUCAGAAACUGGACGGAGAAGCUGGGCGUGGUGGUGCCCACCUGUCAUGCCAGCCACUCGGGGGAGGCUGAGGCAGGAAGAUUACAAGUUUGGGGCCGGCCGGUGAAAUUUAGCUAGACCUUAUCAUAAAUAAAAUAAAAUCAUAAAGUAACAUGGGCUGGGGACAUAGCUCAGUAGUAGACUCCUUGCCUAGCAUGCCCAAGGCCCUGGGUUCAAGGCUCAGGACUGCAGAAAGAGUUUCAAGAUAUCGCCAGAGG